RNAcentral lists this ribosomal RNA (227 nucleotides) under uncultured bacterium. Its description in RNAcentral is "partial 16S ribosomal RNA". It matches the Rfam family "Bacterial small subunit ribosomal RNA", at positions 383 to 607 of the family's 1533-position model. The record is from RNAcentral.
CUGAACCAGCCAAGUAGCGUGAAGGAUGACUGCCCUAUGGGUUGUAAACUUCUUGUAUAAAGGAAUAAAGUCGGGUAUGCAUACCCGUUUGCAUGUACUUUAUGAAUAAGGAUCGGCUAACUCCGUGCCAGCAGCCGCGGUAAUACGGAGGAUCCGAGCGUUAUCCGGAUUUAUUGGGUUUAAAGGGAGCGUAGAUGGAUGUUUAAGUCAGUUGUGAAAGUUUGCGG